Molecule: long non-coding RNA, 1554 nt
Organism: Capsicum annuum
Lineage: Eukaryota; Viridiplantae; Streptophyta; Magnoliopsida; Solanales; Solanaceae
Exons: 3
Source: RefSeq, a predicted model, not a curated record
UUUAAUCCACACUUCUGCUAUGUUGCUUAUAGAAAAGAGAGAAAACUAGAGAAAUAUCCACACUUAAAGCUAUGUUUGCAACAGUGCACUAUUAUAUCUACAACAGGCUUCUUGAGAUUUGAGGAGAGAAAGACAAUGGAGAAAAGGUUAAAUUUAUGGUGAAAUAUAUACGCAAGCUUUUGAACUUGUUGAUUUUUUAUAUAUUGGCAUCUCAAUUAAGCAAUGUGUCUAUUGAAUCCUUGAAUUAUUUACAAAUUGUGUCAAUUAAAUACAAACGUUCGGCCUGACAUAUUGGCGUUCUCAUGAUUCUCAAGCACGUGAAAUCGUAAGGAAGCAUCUAAUAUGACACUUUCCAACGUGGUAUGUCGAUGUGGGCUCAAAGCUGAAAUUAAGAUCUCAUGAACACAAUUCAAUGCUGGACUCAGAUUCUUUCGCAAAACUUCAAAGUAAUACGAUGACGAAAUGCCUUCUCAAGCAAAUAGGGUGAUAUGGAGUUUAUUGAAAAACGUCAAAGUAUUUAAAGAAGAGAGAAAUCGAUCAAGAAAAUUAAGGGUGAUAUACAUUGAUGCAGUUAUGAUUUUGGCUACAUGAAAUUUCUUUCAGAAAUGUUCUUAAAUGAUUUUAAGGCUUACUUUGGGUUAGUUUACUGUAUGGAAUUGUUUUGAUUUGAUUUGACUUUUUUUUAAUUGUAAUUGAUUUGUUUUGUGACUUAAAUUGUGUACGAAGAAAUGAAGAUAAGUUGUGUAAUGAGUAUUAGUCUCCCUAUUUUUAGUGUACAAAUGAUUCACAUAGUGGUAACUAAUGAUUAAAAAGGUUACUGUUAAAUGAUUCACACAAUGGUAUCACACAGUGAUAACUAAUGAUUCAGAAAAGUUAAUAUGUAUGAGAGAGUAAAACAUCUUCAUACAAAAUGAAGUACCUUUCAAUUGAUAAAGUACAAGAGAAUGUAAAUCAUCCACAAAAAUAAUGUAAAGCAUAAGAUCAUAAGUAUAAUUAAUCAACACUUUUCACACAAAAUAGACUAUCUUUCAACUGCUCUAAUGAACUCCAAAUAUACAUAAGUAUCCACCAAAAGUAAACUUAAAACAAACCACUAAAAAUAGUUUAAAAUCUUUAAAUAUUCCAAUAAAAUAUAAAACAAUCACACAAUCAAUGAUUUUGCUACUGAAAUUACAAGGUAGUACUUAAACACAAUUUGAUUCAAUAAGUUCACAUAUCUCCUGGUGCACUAGAACUUCAAAUUUGGCUUCCUUGAUUGACUCAUACACUGCAAUUAUGUAGUUGUGACAGUAUUCUUUCCUUUUUACUUCAUUUCUCGAGGCUUAUCAGAAAUAUCAAUAUUUAUUGAAACUGUAUCUUUGUAAACACCUGAAGUGAAAACUCUUUUGCACCUAGUACCAGACUAUAUACAAUAAAGUAAAAUGAUAUUUAUCAAAGAAGAAUUAGGAAACAUAUGAAGUUGUAUGACAUACAUACAUUUAAAAUUUCAUUUUCACAUUUGAUUAGUGUAGAUGUCAAAUCCUAUUGUCUUGGGCCUCUUUGGUCUAUUUUUGA